GUGUCAGCAGCCGCGGUAAUACGUAGGGGGCAAGCGUUGUCCGGAAUUAUUGGGCGUAAAGCGCGCGCAGGCGGUGAUUUAAGUUUGGUGUCUAAGGCACGGGCUCAACCUGUGUACGCACUGAAAACUGGAUCACUUGAGUGCGGGAGAGGAAAGUGGAAUUCCACGUGUAGCGGUGAAAUGCGUAGAGAUGUGGAGGAACACCAGUGGCGAAGGCGACUUUCUGGACCGUAACUGACGCUGAGGCGCGAAAGCGUGGGGAGCAAACAGGAUUAGAUACCCUAGUAGUCC
This 291-nucleotide ribosomal RNA is filed under the name uncultured bacterium. RNAcentral's name for it is "partial 16S ribosomal RNA". It matches the Rfam family "Bacterial small subunit ribosomal RNA", at positions 505 to 796 of the family's 1533-position model. The record is from RNAcentral.